CCCACCCGUCCACGCACACAACACACCACACAACACACCCACGCAUCGAUCCAUGGCCGGCGCUGGCAACUGGCGAGCGGAGAGGCGGCGGCCGGCCCCUACCCCCGUCGCCAUGGCGUGGCCAACGCGUCGCCCGUCCCCUCCGCUGUGCCGACCCGGGGCGGCGUCGCCCCGGCGCGGCCGGCCCGUCGCCUCCGCUGCGCCGGCCUGUCGCGGCCUCCUAUCACCACCUCCCCGUCGAAGCGAGCUGGCCAUGGAGGUCGUUGACCCUACCACCGAUCGAGUUCCUGCCGUCGCGCGCGCGACCCUGUGGAUCCGGUCGACAUCGAGCAGCCACCGCCAGAUCUGAUGCGCGUGACCCCGCCGGACCUCCCUGCCUCGCCCCUCCGUGCGCGCCACCGGCCCUGCCUCGCCCAGCCACGUCGCCGGCCCUGCCUUGCCGAGGAGAAGACGAAGAUUCAAUUUCUUUUUUACAAAUUUAUGUAAGGUUCUUGCAAGAAACCAGGACUAAUUUAUUCUUUCUUUUUUUAUGUGGGGGUCUUUUAUGUAAA
Molecule: long non-coding RNA, 551 nt
Organism: Aegilops tauschii subsp. strangulata
Lineage: Eukaryota; Viridiplantae; Streptophyta; Magnoliopsida; Poales; Poaceae
Source: RefSeq, a predicted model, not a curated record